UGCCUACGGGAGGCAGCAGUGAGGAAUAUUGGUCAAUGGGCUUACGCCUGAACCAGCCAAGUCGCGUGAGGGAAGACUGCCCUAUGGGUUGUAAACCUCUUUUGUCAGGGAGCAAUUGGCGCUACGUGUAGCGUUAUCGAGAGUACCUGAAGAAAAAGCAUCGGCUAACUACGUGCCAGCAGCCGCGGUAAUACGUAGGUGGCAAGCGUUAUCCGGAAUGAUUGGGCGUAAAGGGUGCGUAGGCGGCCUGCUAAGUCUGGAGGGAAAGGUACCGGCUCAACCGGAACAGGGUC
This 293-nucleotide ribosomal RNA is filed under the name uncultured bacterium. RNAcentral describes it as "partial 16S ribosomal RNA". It matches the Rfam family "Bacterial small subunit ribosomal RNA", at positions 335 to 624 of the family's 1533-position model. The record is from RNAcentral.